ACGAACGCUGGCGGCGUGCCUAAUACAUGCAAGUUGAGCGCUGAAGGUUGGUACUUGUACCCACUGGAUGAGCAGCGAACGGGUGAGUAACGCGUGGGGAAUCUGCCUUUGAGCGGGGGACAACAUUUGGAAACGAAUGCUAAUACCGCAUAAAAACUUUAAACACAAGUUUUAAGUUUGAAAGAUGCAAUUGCAUCACUCAAAGAUGAUCCCGUGUUGUAUUAGCUAGUUGGUGAGGUAAAGGCUCACCAAGGCGAUGAUACAUAGCCGACCUGAGAGGGUGAUCGGCCACAUUGGGACUGAGACACGGCCCAAACUCCUACGGGAGGCAGCAGUAGGGAAUCUUCGGCAAUGGACGAAAGUCUGACCGAGCAACGCCGCGUGAGUGAAGAAGGUUUUCGGAUCGUAAAACUCUGUUGGUAGAGAAGAACGUUGGUGAGAGUGGAAAGCUCAUCAAGUGACGGUAACUACCCAGAAAGGGACGGCUAACUACGUG
This 496-nucleotide ribosomal RNA is filed under the name uncultured bacterium. RNAcentral describes it as "partial 16S ribosomal RNA". It matches the Rfam family "Bacterial small subunit ribosomal RNA", at positions 29 to 507 of the family's 1533-position model. The record is from RNAcentral.